RNAcentral lists this long non-coding RNA (508 nucleotides) under Homo sapiens (human). RNAcentral describes it as "HSALNT0230304". The record is from RNAcentral. Lineage: Eukaryota; Metazoa; Chordata; Mammalia; Primates; Hominidae.
UUCUAGACUCCAAUUUUCCCAUUGGUAAUUCUUAGGAUGAGGAGUCAUAAUUUCAUGGUAAUUCUGCACAUCCCUGGGGAAAGAGAGGACGUGGUGGCUGCAGCUCCUCCUUCGCCUGCUCCCCAGGGGUGUCCGGCGACUCCAGUCACUCCCUGGCCACCGCCAGCAGGAGUAACUCGGCGCUGAGCUGCGGGUACGCUCUGGGCGUGGCGGACGCGGCAGGCUCUGCAGGCGGCGCCUUGUGGCAGAGGGAAGGCAUCGCUCACCGCCGCUGCCGAUGGGUUCAUGGAUCUGUCCUGAGAGGAGGACGAGGUGUCUCCAAUGCCAAGCUUCGGCAGCAGAAGCAGCAGCCACAGCGUACACAAAAGCCCGAACUGUUGGGAGGCGGAGGGUGGAGGGAUCCUGAGAGAGGGACUGCGGCCGGAUGCCCAGCUGUCGGAGCCCCGGCCAGAAACUGAACAACCCACAUGGAUUUGACAUCCCCUCAUGAUCAUCCUCAUGAUCAUCC